GUGUAGGCAACACGCGCCGGAUGACACCGAACAAGGCGGGGGGCCGUCCCGGGGCCGCCGUUGCAGGGCCGGCGCUGCGGGGGCGGGACGCGGGGCGGGCAACCGCACGGGGGCCACGCGGGUGGGGGCGCCUGUCCGGCCCCCGGGCCCCCGGGGUGGCCCCGCCCGGCGCUGGCGCAGCUGCACGCCGGCCUCGGCUUAAGGAGAGUCCCCACCAGGCUUCCCGAGAGGCGGCCGACCCCAUCGUCUCUGCCUGCGCCUUUCGCAUUACCGUUGAUUCAGCAAGGAGAACCCCCGGUGUCGCCGCGGGGUUCCCCAAGGCAAUCGUCUACCGGGCACCCCAAGCCUCCCGGGACUACUCGCGGAGGACCAGCACCCACCUCUGCAAGAAGUCACGGAUGGGAACGAACCAAGCUUGAAGGCACUGGGCAGAAGCCAGUGCCUAUGGACAGUUAGCGGAUGUUCGACCAACUGGCCAAUGGGGGCCCCCCCAAAGACAAUCAUCGCGUGCCUUAUGUCACACGAGCAAGCUAACCUAAACUCAAUGCGUGAGAUGAGAAGAAAGAGAAGGAUGAGCAGACACGAGCAGUAAGAAUUUUGAAAAGUGAUCGAAUUUGGCUUCUGAUCAAUACAGAUCAGUUGAGGGAAGACGUGUGGCAGAAACCCAAAGCAAAUUUGGGAAAAUCAGGAGCACAGCUUCGCCUGUCAAAACUGAAUUUAUUCCCCCAAGAGAGAAGUCCUUCCACCAGAACUCGCAGGCCUGGCCCCACUGGAUUAGAACCAAGGCCGGCCAUUUUUGCCGCCCUGUGCACUGGAGGAAAUGAGCACCCAAGACAGACAUGGACGUCUUUUGUGGUCACUGCCACCACUGUUUCCCAACUGGACUUAUGCAACAGUGUCCAAAUCAGUCUCCCCUCCUCUGCCUUUUCUCCCCCACACUGUCCUUCCUCUCUAAAGCUUAAAUCAGUGCCUUUCACUCCCCGGCUGGCAACGGCUUCCGGUUUCACUUCGAAUAAUGCCAAGUCCUACCCAAGACCUGCAGUGCCCUUUCUGUCCAGCCACAGCCUCCCCACCAGACUGCAACGCCCUCUUCUGCCCUUGUGUCUUGAACUCCGGUCACCCUGGCCCUCUCGCGGAACCUCAGACACAUCAAGUUCCAGUCUAACGUUGGGCCCCUGAUGUUCCUUCCACUGGGACUUCUCCUCCCUCAGAUCUUUGGCUCUCACUCACCUUUAAAGC
Molecule: long non-coding RNA, 1239 nt
Organism: Neofelis nebulosa (Clouded leopard)
Lineage: Eukaryota; Metazoa; Chordata; Mammalia; Carnivora; Felidae
Exons: 3
Source: RefSeq, a predicted model, not a curated record